CUACUUACACAUGCACGCACACAUACACUCAUACACAUACACACUCUACACACACAUAUGUACUCAUGUACACACACUACCCGAUAUGCAUGCUACACCUACACACACACUGCAGGCAGCCAUCCUACCCCAGGGAGCAUGACCAGCUGCCUCGUGUCAGGGGUAAUGGGGCAGGGGAAUGAUUCGCUACAAGCCCCUCUCAACACAGCAGCCCACCCCACACCCCUCCAACUCUUAUCAGUUGAUAGAAAAGGGGGGAAAUGAGAUGGAGUCAGCUGGGAAACCUCAAGUCUCCAGGCCGAGACAUGUGAUGCAGGGGAAGACUUUUGCCCCUAGCAUGGAAGUUGCUGCAGCUCUAAUCUUGCAAGAAAACCUGUGCAGACAGCGCCUGGGCCAGGGGAACCAACGCUGCCAGAGUUUUAGUCUCCCCUACACACAGAAGCUGGGCCACCCAGCGCACACAAAGCAUCAUCCUUCGGACGGUGACAAGGCCACAGUGGCUAGGAAGGCCUUUAGACCAAUAUAUCUUAUUCCUUUUGGAGAGAUAAACCCAGAAUAUUUUGCUGAGGUGAUGAUGCCAUUGCUCUGAGCAAGGUGGCUGAAGGGAUUUUCUGCUCAGGAUUUCAGCAUAACCUUCUGACAGGCCAUGUAGAAAAGUUUUCUCCAUCCUCAAGUCAACAGAAGAAUACAAACCUCUGAAAAUAGAAAGCUUAGUGCAAAUGGUGUCAUCCUUAACAUGUGAGGUAACUGCUUACAUAGCAGCAACUGCUGUAAAAAAAAAGCCCUAGCAAUAAAAAGUUAAUAAUUGGAUUCCUCUGGAUUCAAACCUUC
Molecule: long non-coding RNA, 831 nt
Organism: Alligator sinensis (Chinese alligator)
Lineage: Eukaryota; Metazoa; Chordata; Crocodylia; Alligatoridae
Exons: 3
Source: RefSeq, a predicted model, not a curated record